This 297-nucleotide long non-coding RNA is filed under the name Gossypium raimondii (Peruvian cotton). RNAcentral describes it as "long non-coding RNA (GRAI_LNC002535)". Lineage: Eukaryota; Viridiplantae; Streptophyta; Magnoliopsida; Malvales; Malvaceae. The record is from RNAcentral.
UCUAAGUCCAUUUGUGCAAGAACUGUCUGUAUCUUUAUCUGCCACAACGCCAAUCUAGUGUUGCGAUCCAACAGUGGAAUUUCGUACUUCAAAGACGUCAUUACCGUGAUUUGAGAUGAACAACUCGAAAGCUCGGAUACCAAUUUGAGAAAAAUAUAAUGUCGGUAAUGACAAUAUAUCGCAAAGAAAAGAAAUAGAAAAAUAAAGAACACACAGAUUUUACGUGGAAACCCUUUCGAAAAAAAAAAACACGGGCAGAGGAGAAGAAAAUUUACUAUGUCGAAUUCGAAUUAAUUA